ACCUACGGGGGGCAGCAGUGGGGGAUAUUGCACAAUGGGGGGAACCCUGAUGCAGCGACGCCGCGUGGGUGAAGAAGUAUUUCGGGAUGUAAAGCCCUAUCGGCAGGGAAGAAAUUGGACGGGACCUGACUAAGAAGCCCUGGCUAACUACGUGCCAGCAGCCGCGGUAAUACGUAGGGGGCAAGCGCUAUCCGGAUUCACUGGGUGUAAAGGGAGCGCAGACGGCCAUGCAAUCCUGGAGUGGAAGGCCGGGGCCCAACCCCCGGGCUGCUCCG
This 275-nucleotide ribosomal RNA is filed under the name uncultured bacterium. RNAcentral's name for it is "partial 16S ribosomal RNA". It matches the Rfam family "Bacterial small subunit ribosomal RNA", at positions 337 to 628 of the family's 1533-position model. The record is from RNAcentral.